RNAcentral lists this ribosomal RNA (512 nucleotides) under uncultured bacterium. RNAcentral describes it as "bacterial SSU rRNA". It matches the Rfam family "Bacterial small subunit ribosomal RNA", at positions 29 to 517 of the family's 1533-position model. The record is from RNAcentral.
AACGAACGCUGGCGGCGUGCCUAACACAUGCAAGUCGAACGCGAAAGCCCCUUCGGGGGCAAGUAGAGUGGCGUCCGGGUGAGUAACACGUGGGUAAUCUACCUCCGGGUGGGGAAUAACUCGCCGAAAGGCGGGCUAAUACCGCAUAAUGCAGCGGCACCGAAUGGUGAUUAGUUGUUAAAGCGGGGGACCUUAGGGCCUCGCGUCUGGAGAGGAGCCUGCGGCAGAUUAGCUUGUUGGUAGGGGUAAUGGCCUACCAAGGCUGCGAUCUGUAGCUGGUCUGAGAGGACGGCCAGCCACACUGGCACUGACACACGGGCCAGACUCCUACGGGAGGCAGCAGUGGGGAAUUUUGGGCAAUGGGCGAAAGCCUGACCCAGCAACGCCGCGUGAAGGAGGAAAUCCUUCGGGAUGUAAACUUCACAAGCAAGGGAAGAGCGCGCGAGGGUCGAAUAAACUCUGCGUCCGACGGUACCUUGCGUAAGCCACGGCUAACUACGUGACAGCAGCCG